RNAcentral lists this ribosomal RNA (2066 nucleotides) under Orbilia calyptrata. RNAcentral describes it as "eukaryotic LSU rRNA". Lineage: Eukaryota; Fungi; Ascomycota; Orbiliomycetes; Orbiliales; Orbiliaceae. The record is from RNAcentral.
UGGUGGUGCAUGGCCGUUCUUAGUUGGYGGAGUGAUUUGUCUGCUUAAUUGCGAUAACGAACGAGACCUUAACCWGCUAAAUAGCCAGGCUAGCUUUUGCUGGUCGCCGGCUUCUUAGAGGGACUAUCGGCUCAAGCCGAUGGAAGUUUGAGGCAAUAACAGGUCUGUGAUGCCCUUAGAUGUUCUGGGCCGCACGCGCGCUACACUGACAGAGCCAACGAGUAUAAACCUUARCCGAGAGGUUUGGGUAAUCUUGRUAAACUCUGKCGUGSUGGGGAUAGAGCAUUGCAAUUAUUGSUCUUCAACGAGGAAUAUCUAGUAAGCGCGAGUCAUCMGCUCGCGUUGAUUACGUCCCUGCCCUUUGUACACACCGCCCGUCGCUACUACCGAUUGAAUGGCUCAGUGAGGCCUUCGGAUUGGCUCAGGGAGGUCGGCAACGACCACCCAGARCCGAAAAGUUGGUCAAACUUGGUCAUUUAGAGGAAGUAAAAGUCGUAACAAGGUUUGAAUAUUGAGAUCCUUCUCGCAGUGACNCUUAUGARAAGCCUAUGUGGCCCUGCAAAGGGUAUCUACCGCGACUAAAAAUAAGAAUGUGGAUAUUAAAUCGCAAGUCAGAGUUGGGUAACCAGUCUGGCCACACUUUCGAAUUGCGGGAACCCCCUAAAGCCAACUCUACUAACUCAGCAAGGAAACUUGAUUGAGGGCCUGUGUUAACUACACAGGGUAUAGUAAUAAGGAGUUUGGAUAAGCCAAUUGGCGAUAUGGGCAAUCCGCAGGCAAGUCCCUAAAGCUCYGAUUAUUGAGUCAUGGGGAAAGGUUCACAGACUAAGUGGAAGUGGGSUGCAUCAGCAGCUUAAGAUAUAGUCGGGCUCUUUGGGAGACCAAUGAGGAGUCACAGGUUAACAAGAUGCAUAUGAUUUGCAAUCUCUUGUUCCUUGCUCCGCUUGUUUACCGUUCCGUAGGUGAACYUGYGGAAGGAUCAUUAUGAUAAAACAAUUCUGUYGCCUUUUAGGUGAUGGUUAAACCCUUUGUGAACCAAAAACUUAUUAGSUUYGGCAGCGUGCASCAGGUGAUCAUGUGCCUGUUUGUUUUGUUAGCCUGCCGGCAGCACCAAACCAAACUUUUGUUUAAAAAUCUAGUCUGAACAAUCAUUUACGAAUGAAUAAUUAAAACUUUCAACAACGGAUCUCUUGGUUCUCGCAUCGAUGAAGAACGCAGCGAAACGCGAUAGUUAAUGUGAAUUGCAGAAUUCAGUGAAUCAUCGAGUCUUUGAACGCACAUUGCGCCCCUUGGUAUUCCGAAGGGCAUGUCUGUUUGAGCGUCAUUACAACACCUCGUUAACAAUUUAAGUUUUGUGAACGGUUUUGAGCUCUGGGUCCUCACCAGUCCUGGCUUUAAAGUUGAACGCUCUGCGGGUUACACUGCCAAACUAUACAUAGUAAAACUUAUUCUGUACGGUUAGAAAGUGACUGACUUCGCCUGAACAAUAAACCACAUUUUUAAGGUUUGACCUCAGAUCAGACAAGGAUACCCGCUGAACUUAAGCAUAUCAAUAAGCGGAGGAAAAGAAACCAACAGGGAUUGCCUCAGUAACGGCGAGUGAAGCGGCAACAGCUCAAAUUUGAAAUCUCAAGUUUACUUGCGAGUUGUAAUUUGAAGAGGAUGUUUCGGUUGUGACCUUGGCCUAAGUUCCUUGGAACAGGACGUCGUAGAGGGUGAGAAUCCCGUACACGGCUGUAGGUUUACUUCCAUGUGUAACUCCUUCGAAGAGUCGAGUUGUUUGGGAAUGCAGCUCAAAAUGGGUGGUAAAUUUCAUCUAAAGCUAAAUACUGGCGAGAGACCGAUAGCGCACAAGUAGAGUGAUCGAAAGAUGAAAAGCACUUUGAAAAGAGAGUUAAACAGUACGUGAAAUUGUUGAAAGGGAAGCGUUUGCAAUCAGACUUGCUUGCGGUUGAUCAACGUUCCUUCUGGUUCGUGCACUCUGCCGUUCGCAGGCCAGCAUCGGUUAGGACAGUGGGACAAAGACUCAAGGAAUGUGGCUCUCUUAGGGGAGUGUUAUAGCCUUG